GGAGGGGCGGGGCCCGCGCGGCCAGGGGGCGGGGCCGGGGCGGGGCGCGGAUCGGACGGUCCGGAGGACACGCCCCGCCGUGGGGUGGGGGGAGUCUCGCGCCCCACGCCCUCGCUUCCGUUUCCGCGGGUGGCGGCGGGGGAGUUCCGCCGUCCGCGUGCAGGGGCGUCGGCGGUGCCCGGCUCCCCCGCUCGCUUCCCUUCCCCUCUCCGCCCCGCGCCUCCCUUUGCCGGCUCCUCCUCCCCCCUUGACCUGCUCCUUCUCCUCUUCUGUCUCCCCCAGCUCCCCCUGCUCCCCUCCCCCUGCUGCUCCUUCCCCCAUCCUGCGCCCCUGCCCGUCCUCCUCUCCCACUUCCUCUGUCACGGCCCACGUCUUUGGUCACAUUGGGUAGGAGUUUCCCAACGCACCAGAAACACCAGAACCCUCCGCCACCCCCACCUCUGUCCCCGAGCCCCCCCCCCCCCCGUCCCAUCCCCCAAGUCCCCACCACGCACACCUUCUAUUUUAGCCUCCCUCUUCCCGGAACCAGCCUCGCAGACUCCCGCCUCAGUGCCCGGUACACCGCCCCACCCCCCCUCGCUUGGCAUUUCUGUUCCCCCCGGAUAUCUGCCGGGCUCCUUCCUUCACGACUGCUCCGCCACCUUAUCAGAAAGGCCUUCCCCCGCCACCUUGUGCGAAAUAAAAUAGCGCCUGCUCUCCCGGGCCGCGCUCCCCCUUAUCGCGGAGCACCACCUGGCCUGUAACACGUUCAUUUGUUCUUUGCGUUCUGAGCCCCCCCCCCACACACACACACCCCACCCCCCUGCGCCCCAACUGGGAUGCUGUGGGGUGGACGCUUUGUCUCUCUGCCCCGUCCUGCCCCGUCCGGAGCAGCUAGAACACUGCCUGGCAGGUUAUGGUUGCUCUCGGCAAGCACUUUCGAAUGAACGGAGGCUGGGUGCUGUGCUAAGUGCCUGACACACGGGGCUCCGUUUCCCAGAUACGGAAAGGCGCCCGGAGAAGUGAAGUCAACCGAUCCACGUUUGUGCUUUCUAACGAAGACGGAGAUGGAUGACGAGCGAGUGAACGAUGGAUAAUCGCAGCUCUAGAGCAGAAGCCCUUCUGUUCUUGGUAACGGAUGCACCCCCAGCACUGGGACAGUGUCCCGCACGUACUUCGUAGGCACUAAAGACAAAGUAAUCAACUCGCUCGCUACAGCAUUAAGUAAUUAAUCAAGUCUCUCAUGGAGGAAUGAAUAUACUCCGUCGAAUUCCCAAAGGUCUUCAACAGCCAUCAGCUUUGUGGACUGUCUUAUUCCUAUUGACUUUGUGGUUCUUGGCAACUGACCAGUUAACUAAAACCUGGGGUCUGCCCUGGCCGGAUGCCCCCACCCACUUCCUUGACACCCCUCCUCCCUCAAAGAGGCUCAUUCGCCUUGACCGUCUCACCCGAUCUCACUUGCAUUUAUUACGAACUCCUCAAGGUCCAAAUGUGCGUGAUGCUUACCCAAGACAGGCCCAAGGACAUGGCGGGAGUGACCUUGCGUCACGGCUGGCUGUCACCUGACCAGAGGCAGAGGAGAUGAAAGGCUAUCUGAGACCCGUGACCCGCGAUCUCACCCGAAGGGAGUCACUUCCGGUGGGGGGGAUGGCCGGGGGCAGGUUUGUGGGGGUGACCUAAGGCGACCUGAGAAGCGGGAGAAAAAGCUUCAUCGCGCUGGAGAGAAAGAUGAAAAGGAGUAAAAUGUUUUCACCGUGGAUGCCGGAGGGAUCCCAUGAAAACCAAGUCAAAUGACGUUCGUGCUCCGCUCCACAGUCUCCCGUGACCAAAAGACGGAGAGUGAGUGUUGGCAAAGAGGCGGGGACACUGGUGGCCUCAGACACUGUUGGGGGCGGGGGGUGUAACAUGGCGCGGCCCCCGAGGAAGCCAUCCCUCAAAAGGCUGGACACAGACUCACCUUAAGACCCGGCUGUUCCAGUCUGGGGCACACACAAGAGAAAUGAGAUCCGCGUCCACACGAACACUCGUGCCCCAGUGGCCCCUACAGCGCUGCCCGCGACAGCCCCAAGGUGGAGGUGGCCCCCGCGUCCCUCAGCUGACGAAUAGGUAAAUGAAAGGGGCGGUCUCACCCCACGGAACGUUAUUUGGCAUGAAAACAGUGCUGCUACGAGCCGCAAGACCACAUAGUGUUGGGUUCCGUUCGCAGGAAAUUUCCAGAAGGGGCAACUCCACCAGACAGAAAGCAGAUUCGUGGUGGUCUAGGAUCGGGGGGUGGGGGGAGGAGGAGGUGUGGGGGGGGAUGAUGAUAUCUUUGGGAUGAUGACAAUGUCCUAAGAUUGACUGUGGUGGUGUUUGCACGACCCCGUGCAAUAGACUAAAAUCUGGUGAGUUGUGCCCAUCAAAUGAGUGCAUUGUAUGCUUUAUGAGCUACCUGUCAAUAAAGCUGUCACUUAAAAAAAUCAAA
This is a long non-coding RNA of Felis catus (domestic cat), 2443 nucleotides long. RefSeq lists it as uncharacterized. The record is from RefSeq and is a predicted model, not a curated record. Lineage: Eukaryota; Metazoa; Chordata; Mammalia; Carnivora; Felidae. The transcript is spliced from 2 exons.